Molecule: ribosomal RNA, 271 nt
Filed under: uncultured bacterium
Lineage: Bacteria
Description: partial 16S ribosomal RNA
Source: RNAcentral
CUGCUGCCUUCCGUAGGAGUUUGGGCCGUGUCUCAGUCCCAAUGUGGCCGUCCACCCUCUCAGGCCGGCUACUGAUCGUCGCUUUGGUAGGCCGUUACCCUGCCAACUGGCUAAUCAGACGCGGGCCCAUCUUAUACCACCGGAGUUUUUCACCCUGGGCCAUGCGGCCCUGGGCGCUUAUGCGGUCUUAGCACCUAUUUCUAAGUGUUAUCCCCCUGUAUAAGGCAGGUUACCCACGCGUUACUCACCCGUCCGCCACUAAAGUAAAAAA